AACGAACGCUGGCGGCAUGCCUAACACAUGCAAGUCGAACGAGACCUUCGGGUCUAGUGGCGCACGGGUGCGUAACGCGUGGGAACCUGCCCUUAGGUUCGGAAUAACUCCCCGAAAGGGGUGCUAAUACCGGAUAAUGUCUUCGGACCAAAGAUUUAUCGCCUUUGGAUGGGCCCGCGUUGGAUUAGCUAGUUGGUAGGGUAAAAGCCUACCAAGGCGACGAUCCAUAGCUGGUCUGAGAGGAUGAUCAGCCACACUGGGACUGAGACACGGCCCAGACUCCUACGGGAGGCAGCAGUGGGGAAUAUUGGACAAUGGGCGAAAGCCUGAUCCAGCAAUGCCGCGGGAGUGAUGAAGGCCUAAGUGUUGUAAAGCUCUUUUACCCGGGAUGAUAAGGACAGCACAGGGAGAAUAAGCCCCGGCUAACUCCG
RNAcentral lists this ribosomal RNA (431 nucleotides) under uncultured bacterium. Its description in RNAcentral is "partial 16S ribosomal RNA". It matches the Rfam family "Bacterial small subunit ribosomal RNA", at positions 29 to 505 of the family's 1533-position model. The record is from RNAcentral.